This is a non-coding RNA of Geotrichum candidum, 98 nucleotides long. NCBI's taxonomy places the organism in Eukaryota, Fungi, Ascomycota, Dipodascomycetes, Dipodascales, Dipodascaceae. The record is from the annotation of a GenBank genome assembly.
GGCACUAUGGCCGAGUGGUUAAGGCGAAAGACUUGAACUUUACAUAUUCAGCCAUCUUUUGGGAUUUUCCCGCGUCGGUUCAAAUCCGGCUGGUGUCG